This 1705-nucleotide long non-coding RNA is filed under the name Vitis vinifera (wine grape). RNAcentral describes it as "long non-coding RNA (VVIN_LNC001579)". Lineage: Eukaryota; Viridiplantae; Streptophyta; Magnoliopsida; Vitales; Vitaceae. The record is from RNAcentral.
GCUGAGAAAAUUGAGGGAAAAUGAGAGAAAAAGAAAAAAUCAGCGUCUGAUUAAGUCUUUGUAGUUAGUUCUGUGCAUUUUUGGAAAUCUAAGAUUUGGUUUAGUGUUUUUUUCCCCUUCGUUUUUCUCGGCAGCUAGAUGGGAUUUAAGGUAAAUUUGGGAGAGUUUAGCUUUGAUUUGAGCAAUAAAUUUUUUAUAGGGUUUAUUAAGAAAAUGUUAUAUAGAUUUGAGGGUUUAAUUUUACAAUGGGUGUUUGAUUCGUCGAAUUGACUGGAGGAUUUGGAUUGGAUUUCUGGACUUAGUUUUGAUCUAGGGUUUGAUUUGAUGGGUUUGAAAUGGAUAAUGGAAUGGACAAUUUUCUUUCAUCUGAGGUGAGUUUGGACGGUUUUGGGAUUACAUUUUGUGAUUUAAUUUUGGUCUAUGUGAUUGGACCUGUACAUGAUGCAUGUUUGGAAUUUAUUUCACUUCGGAUUGGAUUAAAUGGAUGGAUUUCAUGACCCUGCCUGGAUCAGAGUGAAUGAGGAAAAGAAAGAAAAUAGUUCUGCAAGUUACCCAGAAAUGGUUUCUUCCAUUAUCUAUUUUCACUAUUUUUCUUUCAUUUUCCCUGGAGUUCUUGAGAUCCAAACAGUGCCCACGACACUCAUUACGAUUUAUAAUAAGGUGUGUGGUGAUAUUUUCAGGUGGGUACGGAGUGGCCACAGGAGGGCCAUUGUCCUGGGGUCUCUGCUACAACAAGGAAAUGAGCCCCAGUAAGUCAUACUGUGACGAUUUCUACAAAUACACCUACCCCUGCACUCCUGGUGCCGAAUACUAUGGCCGUGGUGCAUUGCCUAUCUUCUGGUAAGCAUCUUUGCCUAUAAUUUGAUGGGGAGUUUUGGUUGAGCCAAUCCCAAAAUGAAGGAAUUUUCUGGUGUGAUUUAGAUUAAGCGUUGUUAUGACAGGAACUACAACUAUGGAGCAACUGGAGAAGCCUUGAAGGUGAAUCUGCUGGACCAUCCAGAAUACAUCGAACAAAAUGCUACCUUGGCCUUCCAGGCUGCAAUUUGGAGGUGGAUGACCCCAGUUAAGAAGUCACAGCCUUCUGCACAUGACGUCUUUGUUGGCAACUGGAAGCCCACCAAGAAUGACACUUUGGCCAAGCGGGUGCCUGGUUUUGGAACCACAAUGAACAUUCUAUACGGGGACCAGGUUUGCGGGCAGGGCGACGUUGAUUCCAUGAACAACAUCAUCUCCCAUUACCAAUAUUACCUCGACCUGUUGGGUGUUGGUAGAGAACAGGCAGGACCCCACGAAAACGUCACCUGUGCUGAGCAGAUUGCAUUCAACCCAUCCUACACUGCAUCCUCUUAAGCUCCAUAUGAUCACCCCUUGGAUGGAUUAUGAAAUAAGAAAGGGCAAGUAAGAUUGUAAGAGAUGUGUGAAGUUAGACAUGACAGGUGUUAUAAGGUGUGGAUUCAGUUGCUGCUGCGCGCUUCUGUCAUUUAUGUGUAGAUUUUGGCGUUCAUUUUGUGUAAUGUGUAGUCAUUAAAUAUGAAUUGUAUGAAGCAUUUUAUUCAUAUAUAUUUGUUUCAACUGUGAAGACCUUUCAGAAGUUGCAGUGUGCCUGAAAUGGUAGUAGUAGAGGAACCAAUGGUCUAUAAUGGAAACCUCAAAGAUGAGUUAUUCACAAUAAAUGAUGGUGUGAUACCUGAAGGAACAUCAAAUU